UACCAGUGGCGAAGGCGACUUUCUGGACUAAAACUGACGCUGAUGCACGAAGCAUGGGUAGCAAACAGGAUUAGAUACCCUGGUAGUCCAUGCCGUAAACGAUGAGCACUAGGUGUCGGGUGUAAAGCUCGGUGCCGGCGUAACACAAUAAGUGCUCCGCCUGGGGAGUACGUUCNCAGAA
Molecule: ribosomal RNA, 181 nt
Filed under: uncultured bacterium
Lineage: Bacteria
Description: partial 16S ribosomal RNA
Rfam family: Bacterial small subunit ribosomal RNA
Source: RNAcentral